GGGCUCUCGAAAAAUCAUUCUAAGAGAUAAAUUAAAAGAGUAAUCUGUAAUAAGGGGAAUAAUCUGUAAUAAGCAUUCCAACUCAGAAAAAAACUGAAUAUAUGUAAUACAUACAAACUCCUGAGAAGAAAGGUCGAAGCACAAGAAGGGUCUCAUGUAUAGCAGCCUGUUGAGAAAAAUGAAGAGCCCUGUAAUCCUGAGGAGGUGGCUUAAUCCAAAGAGAGAUGCUCCAGGUCCUGUGCACAUGAAAGAUUUGCCUGCUUCUGCCCAUCUAGGAGCUUACUUCCUGAAGCCUUCAGGAGGCAGGAGGCUAAAUGAGUUUCUCAGGACAAUCUAAUCAUAUCCUGACAGGGAGAAAAAAAUC
This 364-nucleotide long non-coding RNA is filed under the name Pan troglodytes (chimpanzee). Its description in RNAcentral is "long non-coding RNA NONPTRT004983". Lineage: Eukaryota; Metazoa; Chordata; Mammalia; Primates; Hominidae. The record is from RNAcentral.